AGAUUUUGCAAUGAGGAUGAAAAAGCUCCCUCUUCUGAAAUGAAAAGUUGAGGAAAUUUGCUGGCGGAAUCGAACCUAAAACUCUAAACGCCACCACUGAGUAA
Quercus robur (English oak) is the source of this 104-nucleotide small nucleolar RNA. RefSeq annotates it as small nucleolar RNA R30/Z108. The record is from RefSeq and is a predicted model, not a curated record. The transcript has a single exon. NCBI's taxonomy places the organism in Eukaryota, Viridiplantae, Streptophyta, Magnoliopsida, Fagales, Fagaceae.